UGGUGGAGUGAUUUGUCUGGUUAAUUCCGUUAACGAACGAGACCUUAGCCUACUAAAUAGCGCUCCAAUCAUGAUUGGAGGCGACUUCUUAGAGGGACUUUGUAACAAAUACAAGGAAGUUUGAGGCAAUAACA
RNAcentral lists this ribosomal RNA (134 nucleotides) under uncultured eukaryote. Its description in RNAcentral is "partial 18S ribosomal RNA". It matches the Rfam family "Eukaryotic small subunit ribosomal RNA", at positions 1299 to 1458 of the family's 1831-position model. The record is from RNAcentral.